This 1344-nucleotide long non-coding RNA is filed under the name Homo sapiens (human). RNAcentral describes it as "non-protein coding lnc-ACTR2-5:1". The record is from RNAcentral. Lineage: Eukaryota; Metazoa; Chordata; Mammalia; Primates; Hominidae.
AAUUUUUUUAAUCACAAAACUAACUUUGUUAUAUUUUUCCCACUUAGAUUUCUACGUUAAGUAUCAUCACUGUCCCAGUGACUUCUGGUUCUUCUUUUCUUGAUGCACACAAUGUCCUCAGACUUCUUUGGAUUUUCUGCACAUCUCUUGACACUCCACGUUACUCUCCACUCAGAUUCACUCUCCAAAGUGCUUGCUGCAGACUGGCUUUUAGUCUUUCUUGAUCUCUCAAACACAUGGAGUCUGAAUUUCUUGCUUCUUCUUUCCCUUUCUGACUCUGCAUGUGAACCCCUGCACUCUUGUCCCCUCUGUUCUACCUGACUUAAAAUUAUAUUACAGAGCUAGGCAUGGUGGCUCAUGCCUGUAAUCCCAACACUUUGGGAGGCCGAGGCAGGAGGAUUGCAUAAGCCCAGGAGUUUGAAACCAGCCUUGGCAACAUAGCGACACCCUGUCUCAAAAAAAUUUUUUAAAAUUAUAUUACAGAACAGUAGUAAUCAGAACAGCAAGGCAUAAAAACAGACAUGUUGACAAAUGAAACAGAAUAGUGAACCCGGAGAUAAAUCCAUACAUCUACAGUUAACUCAUUUUCAACAAAGGUGCCAAGAACAUAUGCAGAAGAAUGAAACUAGAUACCUAUCUCUCACCAUAUACAAAAAUCAAAUCAAAAUGGAUUAGAGCCUUAUCUAAUCAUAAUGAGUCAUGGGAAAAUACUUCUCUUCAAGUAACUUAGAACCUAGAAUGAUAUAGGAUGGAGAAUUGCUGACAUCGUCUUACCACCUCAAAGUAAAUCCUGCCUGAAAUAAAACCAACACAGUGGAAACGUAGCCAUGAGAUGGAGAAGAGAGACUGCGUCUUAAUAGCAUUAUUUGAGUCCCUGGUCACACCAUGCUUGAGGUCUACUCCUAAACCUUUCAGCCACAUGUCAACAAAUUCUGUAUUUUGAUUAAGCCAGUUUAAUGUAAUUUCAUUAAGCCAAUAGCUUGUUAGACUCCUUUUACAAACAAAUACCAUAUGAUCUCACUUAUAUGUGAAAUCUCAAAAAAUUUAACUCAGAAGCAGAGUAGAAUAGUGGUUACCAGAGGCUGGGGGAAUGAGAGGCAAAUUAAGAGAGGUUGGUCAAAGGUUGCAAAAUAUCAGUUAGGCAAGAGGAAUAAGUUCAAGAGAUCUAUUGCACCAUAUGGUGACCAUGGUUAAUAAAAUGUAUUGUAUGCUUGACGAUUGCUAAGAGAGUAAAUUUUAAGUGCUGUCACCACAAAUAAAUGAUAAAUAUGUGAGGUAAUACAUACACUAAUUAGCUUGAUUGAGCUAUUCCACAGUGUAUACAUAUUUCAAAACAUCAGGUUG